RNAcentral lists this ribosomal RNA (775 nucleotides) under uncultured Neocallimastigales. RNAcentral's name for it is "partial large subunit ribosomal RNA". It matches the Rfam family "Eukaryotic large subunit ribosomal RNA", at positions 24 to 634 of the family's 3401-position model. Lineage: Eukaryota; Fungi; Neocallimastigomycota; Neocallimastigomycetes; Neocallimastigales. The record is from RNAcentral.
UUAUCUCUGUAGAGUCUGCAUAUCAAUAAGCGGAGGAAAAGAAACUAACAAGGAUUCCCUUAGUAACGGCGAGUGAAGCGGGAAGAGCUCAAAUUUGAAAUCUUCAAGGUUUUACCUUGACGAAUUGUAGUUUAAAGAAGUGUUUUCUGUUGAAGUUUCGGUAAAAGUUCUUUGGAAUAGGACAUCAUAGAGGGUGAGAAUCCCGUAUUUGACCGUUAUUUUCAGCUGUGUGAUACACUUUCAAAGAGUCGGAUUGUUUGGGAAUGCAGUCCAAAAUGGGUGGUAAAUUUCAUCUAAAGCUAAAUAUUGGCGAGAGACCGAUAGCGAACAAGUACCGUGAGGGAAAGAUGAAAAGAACUUUGAAAAGAGAGUUAAACAGUACGUGAAAUUGUCAAAAGGGAAGCGUUUGACACCAGUGUUGUUUUCUCGAAAAUCAAUUAAAAAUGGCUUGAUUUUGUGUUGUAUUGACCUUAAAAGCUUUCUUCACUUUUUUCAUGUCUUUUUUAAUGCACUUUUCGUUUAACAAGUCAACAUCAGUUUCUUUUGUUGUAAAAAGGUCAUUGGAAGGUGGCUUUCUUUUCGGAGAAAGUGUUUAUAGCCUUUGACUUCUGCAAUCGGAGAGACUGAGGUCUGCAGCGUAGAUCCUUCUGGAUUAGAUUCAUUCGUGCUAAGUUACAACCGUUUAUAGACAACUUGUUGACUAUAUUCGAUCCUGUAGCUUACUCGCUUAUGUAAUUUUACCUACGCUUAGGAUGUUGAUAUGCAUGACUGAUAU